CCUACGGGAGGCAGCAGUGGGGAAUCUUGCGCAAUGGGCGAAAGCCUGACGCAGCCAUGCCGCGUGAAUGAUGAAGGUCUUAGGAUUGUAAAAUUCUUUCACCGGGGACGAUAAUGACGGUACCCGGAGAAGAAGCCCCGGCUAACUUCGUGCCAGCAGCCGCGGUAAUACGAAGGGGGCUAGCGUUGCUCGGAAUUACUGGGCGUAAAGGGAGCGUAGGCGGAUAGUUUAGUCAGAGGUGAAAGCCCAGGGCUCAACCUUGGAAUUGCCUUUGAUACUGGCUAUCUUGAGUACGGAAGAGGUAUGUGGAACUCCGAGUGUAGAGGUGAAAUUCGUAGAUAUUCGGAAGAACACCAGUGGCGAAGGCGACAUACUGGUCCGUUACUGACGCUGAGGCUCGAAAGCGUGGGGAGCAAACAGGAUUAGAUACCCUGGUAGUCCACGCUGUAAACGAUGAGUGNUAGUUGUCGGCAUGCAUGCAUGUUCGGGUUGGACGCGAGCUAACCGCAUUAAGUACACCUCCGCCGUCGGGGAGGUACGGUCGCGAAGAAUUAAACUAACUAAAUUAGAAGUUAGUUACGGCGUGAGACGUUGCCGACGGACGACGACGAGGGGAGGAGG
This 621-nucleotide ribosomal RNA is filed under the name uncultured bacterium. RNAcentral's name for it is "bacterial SSU rRNA". The stretch from base 1 to 523 matches the Rfam family "Bacterial small subunit ribosomal RNA", at positions 338 to 873 of the family's 1533-position model. The record is from RNAcentral.